AAAAAAAAAACUAUAAGACUGGGAUAACUUCGGGAAACCGGAGCUAAUACCGGAUAAUAUAUUGAACCGCAUGGUUCAAUAGUGAAAGACGGUUUUGCUGUCACUUAUAGAUGGAUCCGCGCCGCAUUAGCUAGUUGGUAAGGUAACGGCUUACCAAGGCAACGAUGCGUAGCCGACCUGAGAGGGUGAGAGGUAAAACUGGAACUGAGAAACGGGCAAGACUCCUAAGGGAGGCAGAAGUAGGGAAUCUUACGCAAUGGGCGAAAGCUUGAAGGCGCAAUGCUUUUUUUUUUUU
Molecule: ribosomal RNA, 295 nt
Filed under: uncultured bacterium
Lineage: Bacteria
Description: partial 16S ribosomal RNA
Rfam family: Bacterial small subunit ribosomal RNA
Source: RNAcentral